UCCUGCACAAUGGGCGCAAGCCUGACCCCCCAAUGCCGGGUGGGUUAAUAAGGUAUUGAGAAAGCAAAGCCCUUUCGGCAGUCCGGAUGAUGACGGACCCGCAGAAGAAGCCCCGGCUAACUUCGUGCCAGCAGCCGCGGUAAUACGAAGGGGGCUAGCGUUGCUCGGAAUCACUGGGCGUAAAGGGCGCGUAGGCGGCCCUGUUGGUCCGGCGUGAAAUCCCUGGGCUUAACCUGGGGAUUGCGCCGGAGACGGCAGGGCUGGAGGGCGAGAGAGGGUGGUGGAAUUCCCAGUGUAGCGGUGAAAUUCGUAGAUAUUGGAAGAACACCGGUGGCGAAGGCGGCCACCUGGGUAUGAACCUGACGCUGCAGGCACGA
RNAcentral lists this ribosomal RNA (377 nucleotides) under uncultured bacterium. RNAcentral describes it as "bacterial SSU rRNA". It matches the Rfam family "Bacterial small subunit ribosomal RNA", at positions 362 to 756 of the family's 1533-position model. The record is from RNAcentral.